Molecule: long non-coding RNA, 3119 nt
Organism: Panicum virgatum (switchgrass)
Lineage: Eukaryota; Viridiplantae; Streptophyta; Magnoliopsida; Poales; Poaceae
Exons: 4
Source: RefSeq, a predicted model, not a curated record
UUAUUUAUCUAAUUUUGCACUGGAUUACGAGGACUGAGCUCCUCCUCUGACGGUAAUUAAACAAAUGUACCUCCUGCUCCAUUUCCCAUCUCCCAAAUCCCUAUUGCUCUGUUGUAUGCUCGGCGUUCAAUCUUGGAUUUCCUGGUUCAUGGAAAUCUUGUGAUUCCUGAAACUUGUGUACGUGCAUGGUGGAGUCCUCUGCUAAUCUAGGUGUCCAUCAGAUAAGUAGUGUGCAGUAAAGCCAUCAGGUGUGUUGCAAGAUCCAUGUAGUCAUGUGCAUGUUUCUGAUGUGUAAAGCUGAGGCCAGAGGAAGGAAGCAAACUGAAAAUUAACUUUGUGAAUUCACUAGCUAGAUUAUACUUUCUCCCAAAUUAUACAUUGGACAAGCAUUGCCAUGUAGCUAGCAAGUGUAUCUAACUGCUAAUUGCUUGUACUAGCAAGUGUAGCAAGUUAGGAAUUUUGAUUUUAUUUGUGUAAUAUUUAUUUUUCUAAGGUGGUCAGAUGCGUAAUGAAGAGCAUAUGGAAAUAUAAUAUUUUCUUUUUGGGUGAAGGAGUUGUUGUCUUUCAUCUUCAGGUAAAAUAUACCGUGUGCAAAAUGAUCAUUCAUAAACCACGUGACCACUGUGCUGGUAUUAGCAGUACCUGGGUCAAUAAUUGAUUAACAUAAUCAUCUGCCUGGUUGCCUUGGCAUUGAGUGCGAUGGGGAUGCUAUGACAGUGAGAAGGUGCUCUCUAACUAAAACUCCCAUUGCGUUUAAUAUAUUAUUUUAUCUUUAUUGUCUCACUUUGUUGGUUUCUUGAUGAAUUACAGUUUACUUGGUAAUAAUGCUGGUAAUAUGUUCUCUGCUUAUUACUGGUUGCUGUAGCCUCUAGCCUGGAAUUAUAUUUUGGAGUACAUAUCCAUACAUCUAUAUGCUAUUAGUAUUUAUAUAUCUACAUUGGUAAACUGCAGAUGAAAAAUGCUUAGCUCCUAAAAGUUUUUAGUAUUUUUCAAAUUAAUGUUUUGCUUGAAAUUAGAAUAUGUUCCUCCUGUCUAUUGUAAUUAAGACACUCAAGCAAAGUGCUACAACCUUCUGUUCCAUGAAGACACCAUAAUUUCUGUUCGCUAGGAAUUAAUUAUUUCUUUUUGUUAUCAUGAUAAGUCAUUCACUCUUUAGUUUCCCAGUUAUUCUUCAGUUUCCCAGUCUCCCAAGCAUGAAAACAAAUGGGUGGAUAACCUUUUUUAUAAAAUAGUAUAUCUUAGAGCUAGGAAAAUAAACCAUUGCCUAACAGAUUUCUUUCUUGAUCAGUAUGUGCUUAGAAUUUCAGAUUAUUGUAGACAUCUUAGUAACUGUUUUCUUUUGUUCAAUAUAGCUAUCUGAAUUCUCAAUUUUGAUUUGGUUCCCGCUUUUCUGUAAUUGUAUCAAGCGCCUUUACCCAAAGAACAUUAAAAAAGUCCUACCAUUUCCGUUCUCAUGUGCUUGGAUAACAUGGAGGCAGUGUGUCGGUGCAAAUGUGUGAGUUUCUUGCUUAAUUCGUGAGCCGGUAUCUUUUAAGAAUCACCCUAACUAGCUUGUAAUAGUGAGCAACUUGAUGAAAGAUAUCAAAUAUGCUCUUAAAUAGGAAUCUAGCUGGAGAGUUUCUUGCUUAGAAGUGCUCUGCUGGUGAACCAGAAACAAUAUGCAUAGUUAGUGAUGCUAUUUGUGAAAUGCAAUUAGAUAAAGCUCAGUUCAAACUUUACCUAAUUUUGUUAGGUAUCAUUUGACUAAUUGAAACUGAAGCCAUAUUAUUUAGUUGUGUGAGGCCUCCAAAUCGCAUAUAGCUAAGGCUUGAAUUGGUAUAACUUUAGUUCAAUGUAAUCAUAGAGCUGGGUAUAUGAUUUUCAAAUAUACCACUGGUUUGCAAAUCAAUUUUGUAGGCCUAUUUUUCUUGUCAUGUAGUUCAGGGACAACCCGGUUGGCUCACACGCUCUAUCUCCGUAACAAAAUUUGCCUAUCUCACAAAGACCAGCAAACUGAACAAGUGCUAGAAUUUGAGGAAGCAAAGAAGCAACAAAAUAGCUUUAUAAUUCAUAUUGUAAACUAAAGCUCUAUUCGAAUUGUAUGCAAAGAAGCGAACAGAGGAAAAGCAUGUGUACUCUGCUGCUCCGAUUGCUAGCUCGAUGAGUUUAUCUGAAGAUAUUGGGGAAGAUGUGGUCUCUAUCCUUCAGGAUGAUGUUGCAGGCAAUGGGGUUGAUAGGGAGCUUCGAGCACCAAUAUGUUGUAUCCUUGGGCACGUGGAUGCUGGAAAGACAAAGCUGCUUGAUUGCAUCCGGCGAAGCAAUGUUCAGGGUGGAGAGGCUGGGGGAAUCACUCAGCAGAUUGGUGCCACCUACUUACCAAUUGAGAAUAUCAGGGAGAGGUCCUCCCUGAAAGCUGAUGUCACCAUCAAAGUUCCUGGUUUGCUUGUAAUUGACACCCCUGGCCACCAGUCUACCCAUACUAUUACUAUCUUCCUAUAGUUCAGAAAAUUGCAUAAGCAUUUGGUCAUGUUAUGGAAGUGGUAAAUCCUGCUUGGAAUAAGGAUGUAUAUGAUUGGCCUCAAAUAUAUACCCAGGAGUCGUACCAAAAACAUUUGACUGUAAUUUGACGGGGUUUAUUGCUGCCAAUCUCAUGGACAUGUGGGAUGGUAAACAAUUUCAUCAAUUGUUGUGUGUGGAUGCGAGAGUUCUAAGGAAGUGGUUGGUCAUAGAUCUACUGAAGUGGUUAUGAAACGAGGUCCAAGAUAACAUUUUUGAAGAUAUAGCUCGAGCUAUAAAGACCAUAUGUAACACCUGCAUGGAGAAAUAUAUCUAGAUAAAUUAAUCGCAUACCAUGGCUGAAACGAGGUCCAAGAUAACAUUUUUGAAGAUAUAGCUCGAGCUAUAAAGACCAUAUGUAACACCUGCAUGGAGAAAUAUAUCUAGAUAAAUUAAUCGCAUACCAUGGCUGAUCUGAGCAAGAAAUAUGGAUGGAUCUUGCUACAUUUUUUAAGUCUUGCAUGCUGGUGUUGGCCAUAUUUUAAAUUAUCAUAUCAAUCAAUAAUCAACAUUAAUGGAUUGAGACAAGUUCUUAUGUUACAUUAUUAUUGUUAUUAAUUAUUAAUUUUAUUUUGUUUACUUGA